This is a long non-coding RNA of Salvia miltiorrhiza (redroot sage), 905 nucleotides long. RefSeq lists it as uncharacterized. The record is from RefSeq and is a predicted model, not a curated record. The transcript is spliced from 2 exons. NCBI's taxonomy places the organism in Eukaryota, Viridiplantae, Streptophyta, Magnoliopsida, Lamiales, Lamiaceae.
AAUAAUUUAAAAUUAUCACUUUUAUAUAUUGUUAUAUAUAUAAGUAUAUAUUUAUAAUUUUCUAUUACUUAUAAUUAUCAUUAGCUAGUAGGUAAUCCUGCCAAGUGCCAACUAAACGUUGGAUACGGCGUCGUAUCACCCCAGCUGUCUCUCCUGUCUCCUCCACUCGAUCGCCAGUCUGUACUGCUCGGGCAGCUGCCCGUACAACCUAGCCGCUGCCCGAAUCUCAAUCCCUCCCCCCAAAUCCGCCUAUAUAUAAGCUCCACACUCUCAUUCCUCUCUCUCUCAGCUCCGCCGUUAAAUUUCUCUCUCUCAUAUCUGCAUUUCUCUCUCGCUCUAGCACUCACCGCCUCACAACUCAACUCGUUCAAUUCCGCUCCUGCUGAGCAAUGGCGGUGUUCAAGGCUAGAUCUCUCAUGGUCGCGGCGGCGAUUUUGGCUCUCGUAGGAAACGCUGUGGCGCAGGAGGCCCCGGCGCCUGCUCCUGCAUCCUCCGCCGGAGUGGCGGCGCCGUCGUUCGCGGUCGGCUGCGCUCUCGCCGUGGCGUCGCUGGUGUUCGGAUCUGCGCUCCGGAUCUGAAGUUCUUUACUGCAUGCGUAUUAGUGAGUGGUGUUUAUAGAGCGACUGUGGUUUACUUAGGGAAUUUUAUGAGUGUUUGUGCAGAUCUGCUUCGAUUUGUGAUGGAGUUUGAUUUUUAGGCGAUUUGUGUUCGAUAUACAUUAUUUAUUUACUCCUUUGUACGUAUUUGGCAUUUAUAUUAAGGUAUUUAAUUUUUUUUUAUUACUGUUUUGAGUGUGAAUUUCGAUUUCGAUUUACGCUUAGUAAAUAUAUUUCGUAUCUGAAACAGCUUUUUGUAUAUCAGAAUUACAAGCUGCGAUGAUAAUAUACGCCACUUUUUGUUUUGCA